This 497-nucleotide ribosomal RNA is filed under the name uncultured bacterium. RNAcentral's name for it is "partial 16S ribosomal RNA". It matches the Rfam family "Bacterial small subunit ribosomal RNA", at positions 28 to 507 of the family's 1533-position model. The record is from RNAcentral.
GAUGAACGCUGGCGGCGUGCCUAAUACAUGCAAGUCGAGCGAACGGACGAGAAGCUUGCUUCUCUGAUGUUAGCGGCGGACGGGUGAGUAACACGUGGAUAACCUACCUAUAAGACUGGGAUAACUUCGGGAAACCGGAGCUAAUACCGGAUAAUAUUUUGAACCGCAUGGUUCAAAAGUAAAAGACGGUCUUGCUGUCACUUAUAGAUGGAUCCGCGCUGCAUUAGCUAGUUGGUAAGGUAACGGCUUACCAAGGCAACGAUGCAUAGCCGACCUGAGAGGGUGAUCGGCCACACUGGAACUGAGACACGGUCCAGACUCCUGCGGGAGGCAGCAGUAGGGAAUCGGCCGCAGUGGGCGAAAGCCUGACGGAGCAACGCCGCGUGUGUGAUGAAGGUCUUCGGAUCGUAAUACUCUGUUAUUAGGGAAGAACAUAUGUGUAAGGAACUGUGCACAUCUUGACGGUACCUAAUCAGAAAGCCACGGCUAACUACGUG